GGAUUAGAUACCCUGGUAGUCCACGCCGUAAACGAUGUGCACUAGUUCGAUGCCGGUCUGACCCGGUGUCGGACGCAGAGAAAUUAUUAAGUGCACCGCCUGGGGAGUACGGUCGCAAGGCUAAAACUCAAAGGAAUUGACGGGGGCUCACACAAGCGGUGGAGCAUGUGGCUUAAUUCGAAACAACGCGAAGAACCUUAUCCUGGGUUUGACAUGUAUGGAUUAGCUUCUGGAAACAGGAGUGACGCGGCUUGCCGUGGAACAUACACAGGUGCUGCAUGGCCGUCGUCAGCUCGUGUCG
Molecule: ribosomal RNA, 301 nt
Filed under: uncultured bacterium
Lineage: Bacteria
Description: bacterial SSU rRNA
Rfam family: Bacterial small subunit ribosomal RNA
Source: RNAcentral